AUACGGAAGGUCCGGGCGUUAUCCGGAUUUAUUGGGUUUAAAGGGAGCGCAGGCGGAGAUGCAAGCGUGACGUCAAAUUUCGGGGCUCAACCCCGUCUCGCGUCGCGAACUGCGUCCCUUGGUUGCGGGAAGGGGAGGCGGAACUCGUGGUGUAGCGGUGAAAUGCAUAGAUAUCACGAAGAACUCCGAUCGCGAAGGCAGCCUUCCGGCCCGUCAACGACGCUCAUGCUCGAAGGUGCGGGUAUCAAACAGGAUUAGAUACCCUGGUAGUCCGCACAGUAAACGAUGGACACCCGCGGUUUGGCCUAUAUGGCUGAGCCGCCGAGCGAAAGCGUUAAGUGUCCCACCUGGGGAGUACGCCGGCAACGGUGAAACUCAAAGGAAUUGACGGGG
RNAcentral lists this ribosomal RNA (393 nucleotides) under uncultured bacterium. Its description in RNAcentral is "partial 16S ribosomal RNA". It matches the Rfam family "Bacterial small subunit ribosomal RNA", at positions 523 to 918 of the family's 1533-position model. The record is from RNAcentral.